This 301-nucleotide ribosomal RNA is filed under the name uncultured bacterium. RNAcentral describes it as "partial 16S ribosomal RNA". It matches the Rfam family "Bacterial small subunit ribosomal RNA", at positions 509 to 807 of the family's 1533-position model. The record is from RNAcentral.
CAGCAGCCGCGGUAAUACGUAGGGUGCGAGCGUUAAUCGGAAUUACUGGGCGUAAAGCGUGCGCAGGCGGUUAUAUAAGACAGAUGUGAAAUCCCCGGGCUCAACCUGGGACCUGCAUUUGUGACUGUAUAGCUAGAGUACGGUAGAGGGGGAUGGAAUUCCGCGUGUAGCAGUGGAAUGCGUAGAUAUGCGGAGGAACACCGAUGGCGAAGGCAAUCCCCUGGACCUGUACUGACGCUCAUGCACGAAAGCGUGGGGAGCAAACAGGAUUAGAUACCCCCGUAGUCCCUGUCUCUUAUAC